Molecule: long non-coding RNA, 322 nt
Organism: Cervus elaphus (red deer)
Lineage: Eukaryota; Metazoa; Chordata; Mammalia; Artiodactyla; Cervidae
Exons: 3
Source: RefSeq, a predicted model, not a curated record
GGGAAUGGACCAGAAGAACUUGGUGAGGACUACCUUCUGCCUGAAGAUGUCCCAGUAUCAUGUUAACAGCGAAUCCACAGGCUCCCCAAUCGCUCCUGAGUAACAGGCUGGAAGAAAUUUGCUGGAGGGCAGAACCUACUCUGUUUGUGAGCAGAGGACCCAAGACCAAUACAGGGGCAGAAGAGUCAAUGAGCGCUCUGAGCGCUCUUCAGCAGUGCUUUCAGAUACAGCACAUGUCAGAGGAGAGACCAUGGCGCUGAAGAAAGGCUGGUACGGAGUGAAGGCACAGAAGCCUUCCUCUACGGACCCCUUUUGCCAGGAC